RNAcentral lists this long non-coding RNA (3975 nucleotides) under Salmo salar (Atlantic salmon). RNAcentral describes it as "lncRNA (ENSSSAG00000118601.1)". Lineage: Eukaryota; Metazoa; Chordata; Actinopteri; Salmoniformes; Salmonidae. The record is from RNAcentral.
UCUAACAACAGACAAUGUGUGGAAGAUAAGAGUGUGAGUCAUGCUAGACUGAAGGAAUGCCUGUAUCAAACUUUACAUUAUUACACACGUCAUUACUAUUACCAAUGAUACCACAGUAGGCAUCUGUUGAGCCCUGGCCCCUUUUUCCUCACAAGUUAACCUUUGACCUAUACCUGACAGAGCCCAUGUGACCUAUCUGAGUGUCUUUGUUACCUGAUAUUACCCACAUUCCCCAGGGGGAAUUAGGGUGGUGAUACUGUAGAAUACAGAGACACAUACCUAUAAGGGCAGGGUCUGCAGCCUGAGCCUUACUCCACAAGCACAUGUUCUCUGGAAUUCAAAAGCACAAAACACAUAUGAAACAUGGAACCUCUACUUCCCUUUUUUAUUGUAAUACGUUCUUUUUUCUACUGUAAGGGAAAGGGACUUCUUAAAUGUCGCUUCUAGCUUCUAGUGUGAGAUUAUAUACUGUAUCUGUGUGAUUUGGGUGUGUGGCUGUGUGUAUAUGUGUGGAUGGGUUGGGGGUGAGAACAUGACAUAUCUCCCCAGUUACUAAUAGGGACCAAACAGGCAUAUAAUCAAUCAAGCCAGAAGCCUUUGAAACACCUCCAUGACUUAUUGACGGUCAUUUCUAUCGUCUUUCGGGGUUUCUUACUCUGUACACAAUCUAUUUGUAGCUAACUCCAAGUGAAGAUGGUGUCUCAUUACUCAUUUCAACUCCUACAAAUUAUAUACCAAGAGGUACAUAAAGAUCUCUUCACGCAAUUACUGCAAUGCCUCAAACAGAAAAGUAAAGGUGAAAUUUGUCCCCAGAUACCAAUAUAUCAAUAGCUUCAGUUCAGGGAUCUUUUUCAUAUAAAUUAGUCCAAGUACUGAAGUGUAGGAGGUAUUUAUCAGACCCCUCUCCCUUCCACUGAAGCUAUCAAUUUGAUUAUCUGAGGCUAAAAAUAAUGAGAACCAAGUGUAAAUUGUGAAGGCUCUAGGAAGAUAUCUAGAACCAUGAUUAAUAUGCCAAGUAAAGCAAAAAUCAAGUUGUUCCAAAACUGAAAACUAAUGUAAUACUGAGAAGUACAAAUAGCACAAUUGCAGCUUUGAGGAUGAAAGAGUUCUAGAUCAUUUUUUAUCCAUUUUUGACACAGGUCUCUUUUCACAUUUGACAUUUGUAAUCGAAGAACCCAAUAAAGGGAAACUAUACUCAGGCUGUAGCAUUAACUCCUUGGCAGGGAAAGAUACACUUUCACCAAGCCCUCAACAUGUUUACCUGCUCAUGAAAGAAAAUAGGAUAUUGACACUUGCCUUUAUAUAGCACAACUUAAAUAUGAAAGCUGUGACUUUGAACACAUCGACUGUUUAACACCUUGAUAUUUUUUAAAGAGAAACAUUUUUUGCAUAUCUUGCACCUAUAUGACAGAGACAAAGUUUCCCUUUACAACUAUUCCUAAGUAAGCUACUUUAAUUAAGGGAUUAUUUUUAGCACACAGAAAUUUGCCAAUUUUUCCAACUUUACCAUUCCAGUGACUCCAAUUUUCUUGGCUUCCCUUAGUGCCUGAAAGUACAAACACACAUAUAUUAUCAAAGAUGCCACAGAACAACCAUAGAAGUUAAAAAAGUAAUAAGACCGCAAGUUUCAACAGGUUGAUAACUCACUGCACAACUAGUGGCCAGUUGGCAGUAUUUACAUCCUAAACUAUUUUUAUCCACCCCAAGAGUGGGGUCUCCUUUGUGAGUAAACAACCUAUUACCACAGACGAUGACGACUGUUCUCAGAGACCCUGAAUGCUGCAGCUGUGUGUAUCAUUGGUCUCAUAUUGUUACUAAUGUAUAGCAGUCAUCUUGGUGCCUGAAAAUGGCCACUACAAACAUGGCAACAAUAAGGUAGGAGAAUUCUAUCCCCUAAUGGAACCAAACUGGCUAAAAAGAGAAACCCACAUGAAGUUAGAUCACUGGCUGCUAAUCUUUAAUACAUGUAUGUGACUGUAUGAGAGACGUUUUGUGCAGUCAGUUUGACCGUUAUAACAAUGCCGAUUAAAGUAACACUAGAAAACUUAACAAGCAUUCAUAGUGCAGCACACAGUCAUUUAGUUACCUGAAACACUUUCUCAGUCAGAAUAUCAAUGCCACUUGUAUAACUUGUAUAACAAAGUGUGCUUCUCUACGCCACAGCACACAAUGGCGUUCUGCUGUAAGAGCUGCAUGGACACUGCCAUCACACACAGACACAAUGCACAGACACACACACACACCCAUGCCCGCACACACACACUUAUGCACACACACGUAUGCACACUCGCAUACAUGCACAGUCGCACACAACACAUACACACAUACGACACUUGCAUGCACAUACGCACACAAUUAAACCUGGAAGGUCACCACACACAUUCUAACAUGCAAUGAGUGAGAUGCUGAGCACAGCACUAAAACCCCUGACGGCCCUAGGGCUCGGGCCUGACCUUUGACCAGUGUGUCACCAUAGGGAUUGAGUGUUGGAACACUAUUAUGUUCAAACUCACUGUUGUAGGAGCAUGAAGUUAAACAUGAUGAUAUUUGUUUUGCACCACUAUCUUAAAAAGCAUGAUAUUGAAGUGCCUCCUUGCACUUUGUGUACAUAUUGAAGGUAACAAAUAUUUUGUUUUAUUUUUGGGAGGGGGGGUUGACAUGGUAUGUAGGAAUAGAGAUUAAUUGCUGUGACAGUUUUUUGUAAUCCUCUAGAGAAAUAUUAUCUAUGUUCUGAAUAAAAAUAGAUUAGUCAAAAUGUCGAGAAAAUAAUGUGUAAUAAAUUGCUUAUUAUUAUUUGUUAAUAGCUGUUAACUAGUUUUCUCACUUAGCUGCCACACAUCAAUAUAUACAUAUCUUUUUUUGUAUCUAAUGUAAGCGUUUUGAAUGUUUGUUCCAUGGAGAUAUAAGUUGUGUCCAUUCAUUUUCAUUGUGCAUACAUGUUCCAGAGAUCACAAUGAUUCUGAAGCGCACAAUGUUGAACUGGAAAGACAAAUAGAAAGAGGAGAAACUAUCUGAUUAAAAAAAGGAGUCCAUGUGGGGUGAUGUGCUGUUUCUAAGUUGGUGAAAUGUGGAUGUUAUCAUGACUAGGUUUCCAGAGGAAGAGGAAAAGGUCAAAUUUACCAUUAACUAAUGAAACAAGUACAGCUUAGCUCGUUCAUUAUGACUAAAAUAGCAAAUCUGAUCAGAAUGUCUGGCCUUGCACCUAACAAAAUAUAGCUCCUCAUGUGGUCACCCAGAUCCUGUUCCAGGAAUCAUCUAGACUUUCUAACAGAGAACACCACACUCACCAUCAGUGUCCGCCUCCUUGUCUUGUGCUUUAUGCAUCAUAUUGUGGUAACUACAAGACAUACAUAUUUACACCAAACAGUCAUAAUUCAUGUUUAGAUUAUUCCUUACAGUUAGAGACAGUAACUGUAAUGAGCCCCAGUGUCAUAUCCAUACACUAGCCUCUGUCUAUCCAGAACUAUCAACCCACCAGUACCAUUUCAUAAACCUAUCCAGACACAUAUUGGUAACUUUGCCUUUUUGCCUAUCUUCAUUUUCAUCACAAUUGUUUGCACACACACAAACAAACCCAAUAUUGAGUAAAGAGGAUGUUCAAAUGGAAAUGGGUUGGCACAGUAUUUCUAAGAUGAGCCAGUAUAUCUUCAAGUCUGUAUUCUACAGAAGUCUCUGUCUUUCUGAUAGGCUCCUCCUGAGUAGACCUGAUAACCUUUCUCACUCCUGCCCUACCUUUCGCUCCCUCGCUUACUGUUCUAGGAUGUCCCUUAUUUGUAAAACUGUUGCUGUAAUUUUGAUGUAAAGGGAGAGAGUAUGUCUGGGAGACAGAAUAUUACAAAAUAAAGACAAAAAAUAUCUGAUUUAUUUUCUUUACCAGAUCUGUGGUAUAAAAGUAUGUUCAUACAUAUCAAUAAGUGUUGUACCAUUGGUGUACAUACGAUUAUGAUAACUAAUAAAUGUUGAUUCAUAACUAAA